UUCAAAAAAAUAUAUAGUUAUGGACCGCUGAGAGACACAAACCUACCUAUAUAUUUGUCUGACACGUCAUAUUUUUACAAGUCAGUCGAAAAAAAAUACUCUUAAAAGAACCGGAUAACAACGAAGCUAACUUUUAUCCUCUGCAGGUUUGUCUUUAAGAAGCUAAUUACGCGGCCCACAAACUCAACAGCGGAAAAAGAAAAGAUGUUGUCGGCAUCACCGAAGAAACGCGUUGCAGGUGAUCAUUCGUAUUCUGAGGUUGAUCAAGAAGAUGAGGACCAAGUAUCUGCCAACCCCAACAAUCCAUCGAGUCAUAUGUCCAGGGAAGAUAGACUGGCAGAGAACAAGAAAAGGUACCAUCUCCUGUGUGACUAUCUACAAAGCGGUAAGAUGCCAAAAGGACUCACCAAGAGAGAAGCUCGCAAUGUACGAAACCAGGCCAAGACUCACAAAUGGGAUGCUGCAAGACAAGAGUUGUUCUACACUGGUUCCAAGUCUAAGUCGAGGAAAAAAGUCAUAACAGAACUGAGUCAAAUAAUGGAUCUCCUUCAACAAUACCAUUCAAACCCGAUGGGAGGACACAGUGGAAUCAACAGCACCCUUGCCAAGAUAUCUCAGUUUUAUAUCUGGAAUGGCAUGAAAGGGGACAUAAUUGAAUAUAUUUCUUGCUGUGAUGGGUGCCAGCGACAUAAAAUUAAACCAAGGCCCCAGAGUUGCACCCAAUCUAUGUAAAAGAGCCAUUGCAGUUGGUCCGAAUGGAUUUAUUUGGUCUAAUGUCCAUGACUACAGAUGGCUACAAAUAUGUACUAGCAUUUACAGAUUACUUUACUAAAUUUGUGGAUUUCUUCCCACUGAGAACUAAAGCAGUCAGCGGAGUAGCCAAAGGGAUAAAGGUUUUUGUGUGUAGAUGGGGUGCACCACAACGGUUACUAUCUGAUCAAGGACAUGAAUUUAUUGCAGCGGUAAAUGAAGAAGUUUGUAAGCAGCUGAACAUAAAGCGGCCCAUCGUCGGUGGUUACCACCCACACGCCAAUCAGCUCAAUGAACAUACAAAUCAAUCUUUAAAGGUCCGACUGACAAAGCUGGUGGAUGAGCACCAGGAUGAUUGGGCCGAAUACCUUGAGGAAAUGGCAUUUUCCAUCAGAACACAGAAACAGACAUCAACUAAGUUCACACCCUUUUCCUAAUGUUCAACCGUCAUGCUCGAUCACCAAUUGAGAUGGAUCCGGUAACGGAUGAUGUUGCACCCAAUCUAACACAUGUAGAUGAGGCUGAACUGGAAGAAAUGGUGUCAGCCUGCGAGGAAAGAGUGCAGUCCACCCAUGAACAGGCACUAAAGAACAUAGAAAUUUGCCAGAAAAAACAGAAGUCCUACAAGGCCCGAAAGUUGAAGGCAGUCAGAACAUUCAAGUUUGAUGUUGGUGACACUGUGCUGCGUCACGUAAUGACAAAAGUCAGGCACAAAGGUCGAAAAAUGGAUCCUCAUUGGAUUGACCCUUACAGGAACAGAACACCACAAAUGAGACCGACUUCAACCCUUUCCUCUGAGUAAUGAGGUGCACCCCAAACCAAGAAAGACCCAUAAACAGUACAAGUGUGACCAGUGUGGGAAUGCUUUCAGCUGGCAUGGAAUCUGAAGUGACAAGUUAUCCGCAAUGAGGAAAAACCACACAUCUGUGAUCACUGUGGGAUUACUUUCAGGCAUUCACAGAGUCUAAAGAAACAUCAGCUCCUCCACAGUGGAGACAAACCGCACACCUGUGACCAUUGUGGGAAAACGUUCAGCUGGUUAUUUACCCUACAACCCUGUUACUCAUUGCGCGGCUCUCGAGCUUUACUUGGCAGCUCGCAAACCUGGCAACGCACCCCACCAACCAUUUGUGAACGCAUGUGCAGCGAUGUCAUAUAAUAGGCUGCUUCGGAUGUGAGAUGCAAAAAUCACAGAUGACAAAAUGGAUUGGUUUGUAAUUAAAAAGGGAAAGAAAAUAGCUGAUGCAGGAGAUGGAAAGACACAGAGAGUUGCAAGAAACAGAGAGGGGAGAGAGCAUGAGGAAGAUCCGCAUGCAGACCCUGAUGAGGGGACAAGCAGCCAAACGGAAAGUCAGAAUACAAAAAGGAAGGUAUGAAGCAUACAAGAUGAGCACAGGAAAUUUCAAGAUAAAUGGACGGAUGAGUUUUUGUUUAUUCUCCAUAACACGACCCCGCUGUGCUUAUUGUGCAAUGAAACCCGUGCCUGCUUUAAAAGGAGUAACUUGGAGAGGCAUUUCAAAACAGCGCACCCACAAUUUAAUGAAAAUUAUCCACCUGGCAGUGAAGUAAGAUUAAAAUAACACAGCUCACUUCACUUGGUGAGCAGCAAAGACUUAUCCACAAGACAAGCUCUGCUGCAGAGCUUUUAACAGAGGCGUCUUUUGAGAUAGCGUGGAUUUUGGCCCGGGACAAAAAAACCUUUCUUGGACUCCGAAACAGUUAAACACUGUUUUUUGGCUUCCACGGAAAUAGUGUUCAGAGACUUCGCCAACAAGGACAAGAUCAUUAAACAAUUAAAAGCACUACAGUUGUCUGAUUCAACAAUAAUGAGGCGGAUGGAAAACAUUGGAAAGGACAUUCGUGACCAGCUGUUGGCUGAUCUGCGUGCCCCACCUUGCUUCAGCAUGGCAGUGGACGAAAGCACUGACAUCACCGAUGUAGCUCAGCUGUGCUUUUGGGUGAGGUUCCCAAAAAAAAAAACUUUUCGAGAGGAAA
Long non-coding RNA from Thalassophryne amazonica, 2745 nucleotides. RefSeq lists it as uncharacterized. NCBI's taxonomy places the organism in Eukaryota, Metazoa, Chordata, Actinopteri, Batrachoidiformes, Batrachoididae. The record is from RefSeq and is a predicted model, not a curated record. The transcript has 9 exons.